Molecule: ribosomal RNA, 1389 nt
Filed under: uncultured marine archaeon
Lineage: Archaea
Description: 16S ribosomal RNA
Rfam family: Archaeal small subunit ribosomal RNA
Source: RNAcentral
GGUUGAUCCGUGCCGGAGAUCACCGCUAUCCGGGUUCGGCUUAUCCAUGCGAGACGAGAGGGGUUAAGCCCUCGUCGUACUGCUGAGUAACACGUAGUCAAUCUACUCUUAGGUGGGGAAUAAUCUUGGGAAACUGAGGCUAAUACCCCAUAGAUUAUAGAUACUGGAAUGUUCUAUAAUCCAAAGCUCCGGCGCCUAAGAAUGAGACUGCGGCCUAUCAGAUUGUUGUCAGGAUAAAAACCUGACAAGUCUAUAACGGGUAAGGGCCAUGAGAGUGGAUGCCCUCAGAUGUUUUCUGAGACAUGAAAACAGGGCCUACGGGUCGCAGCAGGAGCGAAAACUUUCCAAUGCGUUAAUGCGUGAGAAGGGAACCUGGAGUGAUUACACUUCAAGUGUAAUCUUUUGUUUAGGCUAAAGAUCUAUUCGAAUAAGGAGUGGGCCAGACAGGUGCCAGCCGCCACGGUAAUACCUGCGCUCCAAGUGGUGAUCAUUUUUAUUGGGCUUAAAGCGUCCGUAGCCGGUUUAAUAAGUUUCUAGUGAAAUCCUGCAGCUAACUGCAGGGCGUGCUGGAAAUACUGUUAGACUUGGGACCGGGAGAAGUCAGAGGUAUUCCAUGUGUAGGGGUUAAAUCCUUUAAUCCAUGGAGGACCGCCCUGUGGCGAAUAUUUUGAGUAUUGAAAAUUAUAAGCACACAAAAUAUUCCAUAAAAGGCGUCUGACUAGAACGGGUCCGACGGUGAGGGACGAAAGCUAGGGGAGCGAUCGGGAUUAGAUACCCCGGUAGUCCUAGCCGUAAACGAUGCCCGCUUGGUGUCGCGUAUCUUAUGUGGAUAUGCGGUGCCGGAGCGUAAGUGUUAAGCGGGCCGCCUGGGGAGUACGUCCGCAAGGAUGAAACUUAAUGGAAUUGGCGGGGGAGCACACAAGAAGUGGAGGCUGCGGUUCAAUUGGAUUCGACGCCGAACAACUCACGGGGGUUGACAGCAGUAUGAUGGUCACUCUGAAGGGGUUACCUGACGCGCUGAGAGGUGUUGCAUGGCCAACGUCAGCUCGUACCAUGAGGCGUGCGCUUAAGUGCGUUAACGAGCAAGACCCACGCCGUCAUUUGCUAUUAUCUUCUCCGGAAGGUAAGCACCAUGACGGGACCGCUGGUGAUGAACCAGAGGAAGGUGUGGACAACGUUAGGUCCGUAUGGCCCGAAUACCCUCGGCUACACGCGGCCUACAAUGGGUGGUACAAUGCGAUGCAAUACUGAAAAGUAAAGCUAAUCGUUAAAGCCACUCUUAGUACGGAUUGAGGAUUGUAAUUCAUCCUCAUGAAGCCGGAAUUUCUAGUAGGCGAAAUUCACUAUAUUUCGCCGAAUACGUCCCUGCUCUUGCACACACCGCCCGUC